Molecule: ribosomal RNA, 396 nt
Filed under: uncultured bacterium
Lineage: Bacteria
Description: bacterial SSU rRNA
Rfam family: Bacterial small subunit ribosomal RNA
Source: RNAcentral
GACGAACGCUGGCGGCGUGCUUAACACAUGCAAGUCGAGCGGUAAGGCCCUUUCGGGGGUACACGAGCGGCGAACGGGUGAGUAACACGUGGGUGACCUGCCCUCAGCUCUGGGAUAAGCCUGGGAAACCGGGUCUAAUACCGGAUAUGACUCCAUGACGCAUGUUGUGGGGUGAAAGCCUUGUGCGGCUGAGGAUGGGCCCGCGGCCUAUCAGCUUGUUGGUGGGGUGAUGGGCCUACCAAGGCGACGACGGGUAGCCGGCCUGAGAGGGCGACCGGCCACACUGGGACUGAGACACGGCCCAGACUCCUACGGGAGGCAGCAGUGGGGAAUCUUGCGCAAUGGGCGAAAGCCUGACGCAGCGACGCCGCGUGAGGGAUGACGGCCUGGUGUAAC